Molecule: ribosomal RNA, 301 nt
Filed under: uncultured bacterium
Lineage: Bacteria
Description: partial 16S ribosomal RNA
Rfam family: Bacterial small subunit ribosomal RNA
Source: RNAcentral
CAGUCGCCACGGUAAUACGAAGGGUGCAAGCGUUACUCGGAAUUACUGGGCGUAAAGCGUGCGCAGGCGGUUAUAUAAGACAGAUGUGAAAUCCCCGGGCUCAACCUGGGACCUGCAUUUGUGACUGUAUAGCUAGAGUACGGUAGAGGUGGAUGGAAUUCCGCGUGUAGCAGUGAAAUGUGUAGAUAUGCGGAGGAGCACCGAUGGCGAAGGCAAUCCCCUGGACCUGUACUGACGCUCAUGCACGAAAGCGUGGGGAGCAAACAGGAUUAGAUACCCGCGUAGUCCCUGUCUCUUAUAC